AUUUUAAUAGCUUAUUUUAUAAAAGCAUAAUAUUGAAGAUAUUAAGAAAGUAAUUUUACUUUAAAAUA
Molecule: transfer RNA, 68 nt
Filed under: Wakarumbia mamasensis
Lineage: Eukaryota; Metazoa; Arthropoda; Insecta; Coleoptera; Lycidae
Description: tRNA-Phe
Source: RNAcentral